AUCACUUCUUGGCCUUUUGGCUAAAGUCAAGUGUAGUAUCUGUUCUUAUCAGUUGAAUAUUUGAUAUGCCCCCCUGGACUUUCCCCUUGUGGGACAAAUAAAGGCAUAUCAUAGUUCAGUUUGUAGUCUCAAGCUAUGGUUACUCAUGGGGUGUUGUGUUUUGUUAAAUCCCUUAUAUAAAUGUAACAUGUUUUUCU
Molecule: small nuclear RNA, 197 nt
Organism: Sphaeramia orbicularis (orbiculate cardinalfish)
Lineage: Eukaryota; Metazoa; Chordata; Actinopteri; Kurtiformes; Apogonidae
Gene: U2
Rfam family: U2 spliceosomal RNA
About the family: U2 is a small nuclear RNA (snRNA) component of the spliceosome (involved in pre-mRNA splicing). Complementary binding between U2 snRNA (in an area lying towards the 5' end but 3' to hairpin I) and the branchpoint sequence (BPS) of the intron results the bulging out of an unpaired adenosine, on the BPS, which initiates a nucleophilic attack at the intronic 5' splice site, thus starting the first of two transesterification reactions that mediate splicing.
Source: Ensembl